UGGGGAAUUUUGGACAAUGGACGCAAGUCUGAUCCAGCCAUGCCGCGUGCGGGAAGAAGGCCUUCGGGUUGUAAACCGCUUUUGUCAGGGAAGAAACGAGUUUCUCUAAUACAGAGACUUAAUGACGGUACCUGAAGAAUAAGCACCGGCUAACUACGUGCCAGCAGCCGCGGUAAUACGUAGGGUGCGAGCGUUAAUCGGAAUUACUGGGCGUAAAGCGUGCGCAGGCGGUCUUGUAAGACGGUCGUGAAAGCCCCGGGCUCAACCUGGGAACUGCCUUUGUGACUGCAUAGCUAGAGUACGGUAGAGGGGGAUGGAAUUCCACGUGUAGCAGUGAAAUGCGUAGAUAUGCGGAGGAACACCGAUGGCGAAGGCAAUCCCCUGGACCUGUACUGACGCUCAUGCACGAAAGCGUGGGGAGCAAACA
RNAcentral lists this ribosomal RNA (427 nucleotides) under uncultured bacterium. Its description in RNAcentral is "bacterial SSU rRNA". It matches the Rfam family "Bacterial small subunit ribosomal RNA", at positions 355 to 774 of the family's 1533-position model. The record is from RNAcentral.